UAAGAAAAGACACUUCAGUUUAUUUCCCAAAAGAUAUCGUGAAAUCAAAAAAGUGAACAACCCUAGCAGAGAUUUUACCAAGCUAACAACAAUCCUCCCUUACAACGAUCUUAGUAAAGCUCUCAACUAAAAAUGAGAAAGCACAGGUUUUCCUAGCAGCAAACCCAGGCCAGGUCUCAUUGAUUAGUGUUUCAUGCGUACGUUUUCUAAGAAUAUAGAAAGCAGACGUAUGACUAGAAGUGAUCUACACCGAAUAUAUAUCUUCUAUUCACUCGGAUCUCAGGUUCAAUACGAAAACUGAAAAUAUGGAUGGAUCAAGUAUUUAAUGAACUAUCAAAUACACAUUUGUUGCGCCCGGGGAAAUUUGAAAAGGACAAGGACGAGAGAUUAAAUCUUUAACAUCAAAAGGAAAAAAUCCAAAUUAUUGAUAUACCUAGAUAAACCUUGGUGAAUUUUGAAUUCUUUUGUGAAGAUUGAAGCUACAAGUGAACAUGUACGUUUAGAAGAAGAAUAGGACCACUAAUAUUUUCCUAGGAAAGUUACGAAAAACUUUAAAUCGUGACCUAGAUCGGGAUAUUGCUCAUUUGCCGAGUUUUUUUUUUGUAAGAAAAUGUUUAAACUAGCAUGGGAUGUUAAUUUGUUUUAUAUUUAUGGCAGCCUUUUGUAUGAAGAUAUUCCGUAGCAGUCUUAUAUUUAUUGGCAACGUUUAUAAAAUUUUUGUGAUAUAAA
This is a long non-coding RNA of Solanum pennellii, 729 nucleotides long. RefSeq lists it as uncharacterized. The transcript is spliced from 3 exons. The record is from RefSeq and is a predicted model, not a curated record. NCBI's taxonomy places the organism in Eukaryota, Viridiplantae, Streptophyta, Magnoliopsida, Solanales, Solanaceae.